Molecule: transfer RNA, 71 nt
Filed under: bacterium
Lineage: Bacteria
Description: tRNA-Gly
Rfam family: tRNA
About the family: Transfer RNA (tRNA) molecules are approximately 80 nucleotides in length. Their secondary structure includes four short double-helical elements and three loops (D, anti-codon, and T loops). Further hydrogen bonds mediate the characteristic L-shaped molecular structure. tRNAs have two regions of fundamental functional importance: the anti-codon, which is responsible for specific mRNA codon recognition, and the 3' end, to which the tRNAs corresponding amino acid is attached (by aminoacyl-tRNA synthetases). tRNAs cope with the degeneracy of the genetic code in two manners: having more than one tRNA (with a specific anti-codon) for a particular amino acid; and 'wobble' base-pairing, i.e. permitting non-standard base-pairing at the 3rd anti-codon position.
Source: RNAcentral
GCGGGAUUCGUUUAAUGGUAAGACAUCAGUUUUCCAAACUGAGGACAGGAGUUCGAUUCUCCUAUCCCGCA